UUAAUUGAAGCCAAAAAAAGAGGCAUAUCACUGUUAAUGAUAUAAUUGAGGAUCACCUCCAAUUAAG
This 67-nucleotide transfer RNA is filed under the name Hemipenthes neimengguensis. RNAcentral's name for it is "tRNA-Asn". Lineage: Eukaryota; Metazoa; Arthropoda; Insecta; Diptera; Bombyliidae. The record is from RNAcentral.